GACAACGCUGUCGCGAGCACAGAGGUUGGCAUGUUUCCGUUGCCGGAGUGCGGAAGGAUUUCGCAGUGUUUUUAUACCAUUGUGGUUGUCGGGCUGUUUAAUCGUUGCUCUGUUUUCGUUUGUCACGUUGAAGGCCUAAUGACGUAGACAGCAGUUUCGCAUCGCAAGCUUCUCGGUGCGCUUCGUACGAAAAGGGAAGUGAAUAUGUGUACGAUCGAAACCAACAAAUCGCCGCCGAUCGUGACCUCGAACUGCGACCACCUCGACUGCGUACUUGACGUAGUCUAGAGGAAGGGCGUGCGCUGAUUGAAGCGCGACACUCGCGUACAAAAAAUUGUGACGCCACGAAAGUACAAGGCGGAACCAACCAGCGUCCGCGGAACUCUGGCUGCAAGCGCCCGUUGCCCCGUUUACCUCACAGACCACUAUGAACAGCAGUCGCAGUGGAAACGCCUCUGCCUUCUGGCUUGAAGACACGUCGUCACUGCAAGAAGCAGCCCGGCUAUCAGCCCAAGUCAAGCAAGAUGCAGACUUUGGACCUGAUCCUUUCAAGCCAUCCACCAUCGACGACUCCAUUGAGCAAACAGUGCAGUCGAAAAAUAAAAAGGAGGUGAAUGCCGACGAUGACUACUGGCACAAAUCUGCUCAUGCUGCAUUCAACUUUGACGAUGACUUGGAUGACGACGGGAGAAGGAAUGUGCAGUCCAACAAGAGAACACAGUCUUCCGGCAACAAUGCGAAGAAAUUUAGCUUCGACGAAUCAAACCGGGUCACUGCGGAAGCCUGUGGCAUCACUCUACCCUCCCUUGGCUCAAACUUGAGGCGUGCAGGCCUGGAAGACGUACUACAGAAGCACGCCGAAAGGUUGAGAAUCGGACACGAUGUUCCUUCAAAAGGUCUGAAAAGUACAAACACCCCAGAGGAGACAGUGAGAAACAUUGUGAUAGGCCAGCCAUACUUCCUUGGUCAGCAUCGUUCAAAAGAAGACAAGAUUGCUCUGCUGAAUGAGGCGGUGCGUGUCCAAGAUGGAAACGCCAUAAUUGCUGUCUUGCUAUUUCUGAAGCAAACCCUGAAGCAGUCGCUCUUCAACCAAGAGCUGAUGCAGAGACCGAGGGCCGUGUCCCACUACGUCAGUCACCUUCGUGCUGUGCAGGACAACAGCCAGUUGAUGGAUGUUCUGGGUAUGCUUGGCAGAGCCGAGGACGCCGCCAUGGUCAAGUACAAGCUUGCUGUGGAAACACCAGAGGCUGCAACAAGGCUUCGAAACCUGCAGUCCUGUUACAAAUCCCACUUCCAGUCCGACCCCUCGCUCGAGAUGCAGGCUGAACUGGUCAGAGAAGAAUUGAAACUUCUCGAAAUGCAACUCAUCAUAGAGGAACAAGACUCAAAAGCGGAAAAAGAAGGUCAGAACAUACUUAUGCAAGAGUUUCCACGCAAGGCUCCCGUAGUUGGGACGUCCCUGGUCACAACACUUUACUACUGCUGUCUCUACCAUUACAAUGUCUCGAACAGCCAUAUUGCCAGUCCAAGCCAGAUGAAGGCUCUCUUCAAUCUGACCGAGAAACAAUUUGUCUGGACUGCUUUGGCAGCGUUAGCACAGAUAAAGCAUUGGAAAGAAAUUGACAACCUGUUUCAAGGCAAGUCGUGGCUUGGCAAGUCGAAAAUGCGAUGCUGCAUCGGCUUCGACAAGGCCGUUGAAAUCCUGGCCAAGGCGCACGCCCCACCUGAAGUGUUCGAGAGGUACCUCCAGAUGGUUGACGAUUCAGAAAAGAGACUAACAUUGGCCAAGGCACACAAGUGUCACAACGUUGUCAUUGAGCAACAAGAGACCAGCGAUGGCUAGCAGAGCGAAACACUAGUUUACCUAAGAGAUCGACAGCGGCUGCUUAGGUACAAGAACGAAGUUCCACCACAAUCCGUUGCAUUCUUCGAGAUUGAAAGGCUUCUCAAUGGCACGGUUGUUAAGUGGAAGAACUGAAGCCACCUUUCUUCU
This is an RNA transcript of Dermacentor silvarum, 1993 nucleotides long. It is a transcript of the gene named spermatogenesis-defective protein 39 homolog, with no coding region annotated. The transcript has 19 exons. The record is from RefSeq and is a predicted model, not a curated record. Lineage: Eukaryota; Metazoa; Arthropoda; Arachnida; Ixodida; Ixodidae.